RNAcentral lists this ribosomal RNA (484 nucleotides) under uncultured bacterium. Its description in RNAcentral is "partial 16S ribosomal RNA". It matches the Rfam family "Bacterial small subunit ribosomal RNA", at positions 30 to 507 of the family's 1533-position model. The record is from RNAcentral.
AUUGAACGCUGGCGGCAGGCCUAACACAUGCAAGUCGAGCGGAUGAAGGGAGCUUGCUCCUGGAUUCAGCGGCGGACGGGUGAGUAAUGCCUAGGAAUCUGCCUGGUAGUGGGGGAUAACGUCCGGAAACGGGCGCUAAUACCGCAUACGUCCUGAGGGAGAAAGUGGGGGAUCUUCGGACCUCACGCUAUCAGAUGAGCCUAGGUCGGAUUAGCUAGUUGGUGGGGUAAAGGCCUACCAAGGCGACGAUCCGUAACUGGUCUGAGAGGAUGAUCAGUCACACUGGAACUGAGACGCGGUCCAGACUCCUACGGGAGGCAGCAGUGGGGAAUACUGGACAAUGGGCGAAAGCCUGAUCCAGCCAUGCCGCGUGUGUGAAGAAGGUCUUCGGAUUGUAAAGCACUUUAAGUUGGGAGGAAGGGCAGUAAGUUAAUACCUUGCUGUUUUGACGUUACCAACAGAAUAAGCACCGGCUAACUUCGUG